GACGAACGCUUUCUUCUUUCUUAACACAUGCAAGUCGAACGGAAAGGCCCUGCUUUUGUGGGGUGCUCGAGUGGCGAACGGGUGAGUAACACGUGAGUAACCUGCCCUUGACUUUGGGAUAACUUCAGGAAACUGGGGCUAAUACCGGAUAGGAGCUCCUGCUGCAUGGUGUGGGUUGGAAAGUUUCGGCGGUUGGGGAUGGACUCGCGGCUUAUCAGCUUGUUGGUGGGGUAGUGGCUUACCAAGGCUUUGACGGGUAGCCGGCCUGAGAGGGUGACCGGCCACAUUGGGACUGAGAUACGGCCCAGACUCCUACGGGAGGCAGCAGUGGGGAAUAUUGCACAAUGGGCGGAAGCCUGAUGCAGCAACGCCGCGUGCGGGAUGACGGCCUUCGGGUUGUAAACCGCUUUCGCCUGUGACGAAGCGUGAGUGACGGUAAUGGGUAAAGAAGCACCGGCUAACUACGUG
RNAcentral lists this ribosomal RNA (468 nucleotides) under uncultured bacterium. RNAcentral's name for it is "partial 16S ribosomal RNA". It matches the Rfam family "Bacterial small subunit ribosomal RNA", at positions 28 to 507 of the family's 1533-position model. The record is from RNAcentral.